RNAcentral lists this ribosomal RNA (388 nucleotides) under Reticulitermes affinis. RNAcentral's name for it is "partial 16S ribosomal RNA". Lineage: Eukaryota; Metazoa; Arthropoda; Insecta; Blattodea; Rhinotermitidae. The record is from RNAcentral.
CAUCUUUUCUCGUUAGUUUUUGAAGUAUGGCCUGCCCGCUGACUUUGGUGUUGAAGGGCCGCGGUAUUUUGACCGUGCAAAGGUAGCAUAGUCAUUAGUUCUUUAAUUGUGAUCUGGUAUGAAUGGCUUGACGAGGCAUGGGCUGUCUUAAUUUUGAAUUGUUUAUUGAAUUUGGUCUUUGGGUUAAAAUUCUUAGAUGUUUUUAUGGGACGAGAAGACCCUAUAGAGUUUAACAUUUGUUAUGGUCCCUUUAUGUUUGUGAGGGUUCAUUGGGCCGUUAAAUAUGUUUUGUUGGGGUGAUGGGAGGGAUUAUUUAACCCCUCCUUUUGUUAUUAUAUUUAUUUAUAUUUACUUGAUCCAUUUAUUUUGAUUGUAAGAUUAAAUUACC